RNAcentral lists this transfer RNA (71 nucleotides) under Mesocricetus auratus (golden hamster). It matches the Rfam family "tRNA". From Rfam's summary of the family: Transfer RNA (tRNA) molecules are approximately 80 nucleotides in length. Their secondary structure includes four short double-helical elements and three loops (D, anti-codon, and T loops). The record is from Rfam by way of RNAcentral. Lineage: Eukaryota; Metazoa; Chordata; Mammalia; Rodentia; Cricetidae.
GACAGUGUAGCUUAGUUGGUAGAGUGCUUGCCUCCCAUGCAUGAAGCCCUUGGUUCAUUCCUAGCACUGCA